GGAAAAGAAAGUACUAACUAUUGAUGGAGGACCAAUUUGUUGCCAUAUAUCUUUAGCCUUACAACAACCACUUCUCCUGUAGGCUGUAACAGGCUAACAACACAUCUCUGCUACAGGUCUGGGUAAAUAUAUUACGAUGCAUUCUGGAGACAUUAGUUAGAAUUUUCCCUUGGCAGUUAACCUGAAGAAAUGGUCUGCUGCAGUAAUAUUGUUGUGCAUGAGUUGAAGAUUGAAAUUCUCAAGGUCAUUAAUUGUCAGCAAACUAUGAAGUUCCUUUUCCAAUAAGCUUGAACUCCCAUGUUCCUGAAUCCUUGAAGAAGCUCAAAUCCUGUGAGUCCAGUGUUUGAGUCCUAUAAGAAAAUAUCAAAACAAAAUGCAAACAUCUCAAAUGAUAUGCUUAUUUUUCCCUGCCACAACAAAUUAAAAAAACUCUUCAUUAAGCAAUUCCAAUAAGUCAGAAAUAACCAUAAAAAUGUAUUCCUCUGUCAGUUGCUUAGUCCUACCAAAACUUCCACACAAUUGCAAACUUACAAUAUAAAUGCCCCUCAGGUUUUAGCUGUUAGCUGAAAAUGUUGUGUUAGAGAAUAUGAUUUUUGUGCUAUAGAAUGAUAACAUGCUAAAGGCAAAUUCUAUCUGCCAAACAAAUCAACUAGAAGAACACAGAUGCUGAACAUCUGCCCCAGCAAGCUGACAAAACAUGCUGAAAGGGAAGGCAGGAAAUACCUUCUCCACAAAAUGCAUCCCAACUAGAGAAUAACAAGGACCUAAUUAUUUCUUCCCUGAUGGAAAAACUUCAUGUACUUGCAAUAUUAAUGUCAGCCAGACAAUAAAACAUAGUUCAGCAUGAAUUUUAACACUGAUUAUAAAAUAGCUUAGUAACACUAAUGCAAAACCUAUUAUUGCAUGAAACUACUGGAAUUAGCAUUUAAUGUAUCUGUAUUAAUACCUCAUAAGUAUGCACAGUAAUUAAGUUUAAAAAUGGAUUUCAAAAUUCCUAAACAACAGUUCAGAAGUACAGCAAUUCAAACAUUUACAGCAACAAUAUAUAUAGCUUAAUCAUAAAAAUGGGCAUAAAUAUCCAAACUUCAACUAUAGUUCCGAUACAUGACAAUUAAAGGGGGAAAAAAGAUUAAAAGGAAAAGAUUUGUGCCACAAUAUCUUCACAAUACCAUUUCACUGAAGUCAAACAAUAAUGGUAUUUCACAACCUUAAGUUUGCACAAUAUAAACAGGCAAAGCAAUAUUUCCAGCAAGAUUCUCCCUCCUAAAAGAUAAUGCUGUUAUUGAACAGCAUAUUACCAAAACUGAAAGCAAUGUGACAAGUGAUCAAAUCAUGACAGAUCCAGACAAUUAAUUAAAAUCAGCACCAAUUUCUUUGCCCUUCAACUCCAAUGCCAUUCGCUCAUUCUCAAGCUUCAUCCUCUCAUUUUCCAUCCUCAACUUUUCUAGUUCAUUAUCUCUUUUCUUGCUAAAUCUUUGCCACUUGAAUCGCUGUUUUUCUAAUUCCAACAUCUCAUGUUGAAGUUGUACAUUCUGCUCUUCUAACUGAAGCAUGCAAGAUUCCAUCCAUUGCUUCUGUAAGCAAGCUGCUCUUAUACUUUCAGAUGAAACUUGAUUCAUAUCAACUUGGGGAAUUUGCAAGCGAGAAUAAGAACCUUUAUUACCAUCCUGAGAUGAAUUCCCAAAAUAAACAUCUUCAAGGCCCUGGCCUUGUCUCAACCUUUUUACAGAGCCCCCUAAGACCCCAUACAUUCCCCUGCCAUCCCCAGGUGAAGGUUGAUUCUCCUCUAGUUCAUCAUGAUCAUCAGUUUCCACUUCUUGAUCAUCUUCAUCAAGAUCAUCAUGUUGAUGCUUUCUCACAUCAUCACUAUCAUGAUCAUCUUUACUUCUAAGAGCCAACUGCAAGGAACGCUGUAAUGCUGGAUCAUGAGGCAGAUGCAAUCUAUUACCGUUAUGGUAUGAACACAUCUCUUCAUAGAAGAGAUGCUUUGAGCUUAAUGUUUUCCGAACAUCAUCUUUCUCUUUCUCUGUUAGAUAAUUUAUAACAUCCAAAAGCGCAGGAUUCUCUACAACUUGGCAAGAAGUGCCCCUUCCAAGCAUGUCAUUGAGCUUUUUGUACCUUUUGUUAAGGUCAUUGAAUUUAUCCUCGCACUGCUGCGGUGAAACAUGGAAACCUCUUUCAGCCAUGACCUUGGAAACCAAUUUCCACUUGCCCUUUUUCUGUAAGACUGCUAAUUUCCUUCUCAUCCCACCUUCACUAUCUGAAGACGUAUCCUCGCCUAUGUAAGAUACCGCAGUUAUCAAAAGCCUCACCAUCUUAUCAGUCCACUUAACACGCUGCCAUGGUGACCCCUUUUUCCCUUUACUUGCAUCAUUAUGACCAUCAGCACCAUCUUCAGUAUAGCUUGGCUCAUCCUCAUCACUUGCUGAAUUUUUCCCCUUAUCUCCCUUAUUGUAAUCAGUCAUGGAAAUGGUUUGAUCAGAGUUGUCCACCGUUCCUAUGGUAAGAGGGAAAGCCUCAUGAACUGAGGGAUGGAUUGAGGAGCCUUGGCGAUGACCAGGGUGUUGUUGCUGGUUUACAGUAUGUGCGUACGGAGCUUGAUGACGAAGUCUAAUUGAUCCUUGCAAGUCAAGACCUCCAAAAGGAGCCCCACCAGGCAUCAUACCUCCUUGUGACAAAUUCCCUUCCAUUUUCUUUUCCAGAACGAAUUAGAUCAUACCCAUGAGCCCAUUUUCCUAAAACCUUAUUUACUGUUCAUUUUUCUCUCUCUGAAAGCCAAUUAACAUGCUUUAUGCUCUUAUCAAGCUAAGCAAACUCAUUUCUCAUUUUCACCUUUUUAAGCAUCUCAUCAAAUUCUCCAGCUACAUAGAUCCUCAAACAUGUAUAUUCAAUUCGCACCAGGCAAACAAACACAAACCCUUUUCAGAACUCAAUACCAAGCUCAAAAUCUCAAAGAAAAACUUCACUAAAAUACCCAGUUCCAAAUUUCCCAAAUUCACCAAUAGUUACAUAGAAAACGCACCAAAACAUUCAAACCGAAAAAAAAAAAUCCUCAAUGUUCAGUAAUAGAGAAGCCAAGCUACUUAUCUGCAGCAGAAAAAUUCCACACAGCCAACACCAUGCAAGCUUGAGAGAGAAAGAAACAGAAUUGCCUAUAAUAAAGGCGAAAAUCUAGGAAGAACAUCAAUUACCAAGCACAAAGCCAUCACAAGGGGGGAAAAA
This 3222-nucleotide unclassified non-coding RNA is filed under the name Hevea brasiliensis (rubber tree). The record is from RNAcentral. Lineage: Eukaryota; Viridiplantae; Streptophyta; Magnoliopsida; Malpighiales; Euphorbiaceae.